RNAcentral lists this transfer RNA (72 nucleotides) under Dehalococcoidia bacterium. RNAcentral's name for it is "tRNA-Val". It matches the Rfam family "tRNA". From Rfam's summary of the family: Transfer RNA (tRNA) molecules are approximately 80 nucleotides in length. Their secondary structure includes four short double-helical elements and three loops (D, anti-codon, and T loops). The record is from RNAcentral. Lineage: Bacteria; Bacillati; Chloroflexota; Dehalococcoidia.
CGGCUCGUAGCUCACCGGCAGAGCGAUCGGCUCACAACCGAUUGGUCGCAGGUUCGAAUCCCGCCGAGCCCA